AUUGAACGCUGGCGGCAGGCCUAACACAUGCAAGUCGAGCGGAUGAAGGGAGCUUGCUCCUGGAUUCAGCGGCGGACGGGUGAGUAAUGCCUAGGAAUCUGCCUGGUAUUUGGGGAUAACGUCCGGAAACGGGCGCUAAUACCGCAUACGUCCUGAUGGAGAAAGUGGGGGAUCUUCGGACCUCACGCUAUCAGAUGAGCCUAGGUCGGAUUAGCUAGUUGGUGGGGUAAAGGCCUACCAAGGCGACGAUCCGUAACUGGUCUGAGAGGAUGAUCAGUCACACUGGAACUGAGACACGGUCCAGACUCCUACGGGAGGCAGCAGUGGGGAAUAUUGGGCAAUGGGCGAAAGCCUGAUCCAGCCAUGCCGCGUGUGUGAAGAAGGUCUUCGGAUUGUAAAGCACUUUAAGUUGGGAGGAAGGGCAGUAAGUUAAUACCUUGCUGUUUUGACGUUACCAACAGAAUAAGCACCGGCUAACUUCGUG
RNAcentral lists this ribosomal RNA (484 nucleotides) under uncultured bacterium. RNAcentral describes it as "partial 16S ribosomal RNA". It matches the Rfam family "Bacterial small subunit ribosomal RNA", at positions 30 to 507 of the family's 1533-position model. The record is from RNAcentral.